AGCGAUGGCUCUUCCAUACAGCAGAGAAGGAAGGGGAACCCCCACCAGGGGUGUGGAGAGACAGUGAAGGCCAGACUUGACCAUCAGCCAAGGUUAAAAGAAUGACCAGAGACUGGCAACCACAAAACAAGGAAGCCAGGGGUGGCCAUUCCAAGUCUCAUCAAGGACCUGGGGCAGGUUCCCGAGCCCCAAGGGGCCAACGGUACGAUCCCCAGAAGCCAAGGUCUGCAAGCCAUCAAGGAGAGCCCACGGCCCCAGUAAGGCCUAGAGGGCAAGGGUGUCUUUGAUGAGCCUGCGCAUGGUCGUGGUGACCGAGGUGCCCAGGGCAUCAGUGAUCUGGAAGGAAAUCUUGUAGAGGUAGGGCUGCACGUCCCGCAAGCCUGUGUCAAACACGUUGUCCACCUCCGACUGCGUGGGCAUCUUGGGCAGGUACUCGUGCCGGUUCAUCACCUCCACGAUGUUGAUGAUCUUCUCACAGAGCUUCUCACCCACCUUCUCCCGACAGAUCUGCCGCUCCUGCUCUGUGGCCAGAGCUACCACAUGCACCUUGACCGUCCACACCUCCCAGGGGAUGCAUUCGUCUGAGAAAGGCCAGCGAGACUUCUUCUUCUGGU
This 614-nucleotide long non-coding RNA is filed under the name Lynx pardinus (Iberian lynx). Lineage: Eukaryota; Metazoa; Chordata; Mammalia; Carnivora; Felidae. The record is from RNAcentral.